This 646-nucleotide ribosomal RNA is filed under the name uncultured eukaryote. RNAcentral describes it as "SSU rRNA". It matches the Rfam family "Eukaryotic small subunit ribosomal RNA", at positions 389 to 1041 of the family's 1831-position model. The record is from RNAcentral.
AGGGCGCAUGAGAAACGGCUACCACAUCUAAGGAAGGCAGCAGGCGCGAAAAUUACCCAAUACUAAUACAGUGAGGUAGUAACAAUAAAUAACACAGCCCAGCAUUUCAUGUUGGGCUUUUGGAAUGAGAACAAUUUAAAUCCAUUAUCGAGGAUCAAUUGGAGGGCAAGUCUGGUGCCAGCAGCCGCGGUAAUUCCAGCUCCAAUAGCGUAUAUUAAAGUUGCUGCAGUUAAAAAGCUCGUAGUUGGAUUUCUAGCGAGGCACGAGAAUAUCCACCUAUGGUGAAUACUUCUCUCGCCUUGCUCUUCUUUAGUUGAUGUCUCUGGCAUUAAGUUGUCGGAGUCCUGAGACUAAUCGUUUACUGUGAGAAAAUUAGAGUGUUCAAAGCAGGCUUAUGCCGUUGAAUAUAUUAGCAUGGAAUAAUAAGAUAGGACUUCGGUACUAUUUUGUUGGUUUGCGUACUGAUGUAAUGAUAAAUAGGGACUGGCGUGGGUAUUCGUAUUUUAAUGUCAGAGGUGAAAUUCUUAGAUUAUUGAAAGACGGACGACUGCGAAAGCAUCUACCAAGUAUGUUUUCAUUAAUCAAGAACGAAAGUAUGGGGAUCGAAGAUGAUUAGAUACCAUCGUAGUCUAUACCAUAAACUAUG